RNAcentral lists this long non-coding RNA (2907 nucleotides) under Salmo salar (Atlantic salmon). Its description in RNAcentral is "lncRNA (ENSSSAG00000118253.1)". The record is from RNAcentral. Lineage: Eukaryota; Metazoa; Chordata; Actinopteri; Salmoniformes; Salmonidae.
UGUACCCAUGUAUCCCAAUAUUCCUUGUAUCCGGUCCUACCCAGCAGCUCCCCUGGUAGGAAUACUUUGAAAAAAAGCCGGAAACAGCCGUCCUAAUUUCAGGGUUGGAAUAGGAUCUAUACAUGUGUCAUGUGAGCUUUUCCCCUGGGAAGUUGUUGGAGGAAAAACAGACAAGAGGGAGAGUCAGUAGUUUUAACAUAAAAGGCCAAAGCAAACAUUUCCUUUAUCGAAAAGCAGUGCUGACUAUUGAUGUUUGACUGGGCGAGUCGUCUCCACAGGGAAGUUCUGUUCCUUUCUCUCCUCAAAGACCCACUGUCUCUUAUUAACACUGGAUUUACAGGAGGAGGAACUCUUACCCUACAGGAAGUCUGGGACUGUCUCUUAACACUGGAUAUACAGGAGGAGGAACUCUUACCCUACAGGAAGUCUGGGACUGUCUCUAACACUGGAUAUACAGGAGGAGGAGGAGGAACUCUUACCCUACAGGAAGUCUGGGCCUCACUGGAUAUACAGGAGGAGGAGGAGGAACUCUUACCCUACAGGAAGUCUGGGACUGUCUCUAACACUGGAUUUACAGGAGGAGGAACUCUUACCCUACAGGAAGUCUGGGACUGUCUCUAACACUGGAUUUACAGGAGGAGGAACUCUUACCCUACAGGUAGUCUGGGACUCACUGGAUUUACAGGAGGAGGAGGAGGAACUCUUACCCUACAGGAAGUCUUGGACUGCCUCCUCACUGGAUAUACAGGAGGAGGAGGAGGAACUCUUACCCUACAGGAAGUCUUGGACUGCCUCCUCACUGGAUAUACAGGAGGAGGAGGAGGAACUCUUACCCUACAGGUAGUCUUGGUCUGCCUCACUGGAUUUACAGGAGGGAGAACUCUUACCCUACAGGUAGUCUGGGACUGAGAUACCGUGACGAGAUCCUCAAGCCGAUUGUCGUGCCUUUCAUUAUCUCCGUGUUUCAGCGUGAUAAUUCACAGCAACCCCAAGUCGCAAGGAUCUGUACGCAAUUCCAGGAAGCUGAAAAAAUGUCCCAGUUCUUCCACGACCUGCGUACUCACCAGACAUGUCACCCCCAUUGAGCAUGUUUGGGAUGCUCUGGAAUCGACGUGUACGACAGCGUGUUCCAGUUCCCGCCCAAUAUCCAACAACUUCACACAGCCGUCGAAGAGGAGGUGGGGACAACAUCCAAACAGGACCACAAUCAACAGCCUGCUCAACUCUAUGUGAAGGAGACGUGUCGCGCUGCAUGAGGCAAAUAGUGGUCCCACCAGAUACUGACUGGUUCUCUGCCUCCACCCCCCCUUAAAAAAAUGUUUUAGGUAUCUGUGACCAACAGAUAUUCCCAGUAAUGUGAAAUCCUGGGAAUACAGCUUUGACUGCAUGCUAACAGUGAAUUCAGAGCCAUUCGGUAGCUUGGCUACACUACAAACGUAAAUAUUCCCAGGGUCCUGUGAAACACUAGUAAUCAACAGUCCGCCACAGUUUCACUGAUUCGCUGAAAGGGUUUUAGUCUGUGUUUUAAUUUCAUUGGGUAUUAAGAAACACAGUUAGUUGUCACGUCCUGACCAAUAAAAAAGGGUUUAUUUGUUCUUAUUAGUUUGGUCAUGGACUUCGGCAGGGGGUGUUUGAUUCAUGUGGUUCAGGGUGUGUUUGAGUGUGUGUUCAUGUAGAGGGGGGUAUUUGAUUUAUGUGGUUCAGGGUGAGUAUGUUUUCAUGUAGAGGGGGUAUUUGAUUUAUGUGGUUCAGGGUGUGUUUGAGUAUGUGUUCAUGUAGAGGGGGGUAUUUGAUUUAUGUGGUUCAGGGUGUGUUUGAGUAUGUGUUCAUGUAGAGGGGUGUUUGAUUUAUGUGGUUCAGGGUGAGUAUGUGUUCAUGUAGAGGGGGUAUUUGAUUUAUGUGGUUCAGGGUGUGUUUGAGUAUGUGUUCAUGUAGAGGGGGUAUUUGAUUUAUGUGGUUCAGGGUGUGUUUGAGUAUGUGUUCAUGUAGAGGGGGUAUUUGAUUUAUGUGGUUCAGGGUGUGUUUGAGUAUGUGUUCAUGUAGAGGGGUGUUUGAUUUAUGUGGUUCAGGGUGUGUUUGAGUGUGUGUUCAUGUAGAGGGGGUGUUUGAUUUAUGUGGUUCAGGGUGUGUUUGAGUGUGUGUUCAUGUAGAGGGGGUAUUUGAUUUAUGUGGUUCAGGGUGUGUUUGAGUGUGUGUUCAUGUAGAGGGGGUAUUUGAUUUAUGUGGUUCAGGGUGUGUUUGAGUGUGUGUUCAUGUAGAGGGGGAAUUUGAUUUAUGUGGUUCAGGGUGUGUUUGAGUGUGUGUUCAUGUAGAGGGGGUAUUUGAUUUAUGUGGUUCAGGGUGUGUUUGAGUGUGUGUUCAUGUAGAGGGGGUAUUUGAUUUAUGUGGUUCAGGGUGUGUUUGAGUAUGUGUUCAUGUAGAGGGGGUGUUUGAUUUAUUAGUCCGGGUUUUUUUUUUUGGUUAGUUCUAUGUUGUUAGUUCUAUGUCUGUGCUACGGUAUUGUAUUUCUAUGUUCAGUCUAGUCGUUUGUAUUUCUAUGUUUAGUUAAUUGGUGUUGGGGCCUUCAAUUGGAGACAGCUGUCUAUCGUUGCCUCUGAUUGAAGGUCCUAUAAUUAGGAUUGUGUUUGUUUUUGGGGAAUUGUGGGAGAUUGUUUCUUGUAUUGCUGUGCGUUGCCUACAAGACUGUUUUGUCGUCAGUUUAUCGUUUUUUUCGUGUGUUUGUUUCGGACAAAAUAAAAUAAAAAUGAGGCAUUCACGUACCCCGCUGCGCUUUGGUCCAUCGAUUACGACGACCGUUGACAGUUUGAAACUUUCGCAAGUGAGGAACGGGUAACCAAGGUAACCUCCCGGGUAAAAACGAUGUCUGAGGUUGCAACCGUAACCACCGGGGGGACCGGGGUUAAGCGA